UGGGAAUCUUAUUUCCAAAAGUCUGGUGGG
This 30-nucleotide non-coding RNA is filed under the name Mus musculus (house mouse). Lineage: Eukaryota; Metazoa; Chordata; Mammalia; Rodentia; Muridae. The record is from RNAcentral.